CAUGUCCUUUUGAAUUUAAUUUAAGGUCUAAUCUGCUCAAUGAUGAUUAAAUAGCCGCAGUAUUUUAACUGUGCAAAGGUAGCAUAAUAAUUAGUUUCUUGAUUAGGAACUGGUAUGAAUGAUUGGACGAGAAAAUUGCUGUCUCAUUUUUAAAUUUUUUGAAUUUUAUUUUUAAGUGAAAAAGCUUAAAUUUUUAUAAAAGACGAGAAGACCCUAUAGAGUUUAAUAUUAUUUUACAAUUUGAAUAUAGAAUUAAUUUUUGUAAAAUUUUAUUUGGUUGGGGUGAUUUAAAGAUUAAUUAAAUUCUUUAAUUUAUUAAUUGGUGAUGUCUAAAUUUUAAAUCUAUAUUUUAUAAAUAUAAAAUAAAUUACCUUAGGGAUAACAGCGUAAUUUUUCUUAAAAGUUCAUAUUAAAAGAAAAGUUUGCGACCUCGAUGUUGGAUUAAAAUUAAUUUUUGGUGCAAUAACUUAAAAAUUAGGUCUGUUCGACCUUUAAAAUUUUACAUGAUCUGAGUUUAAACCGGUGUGAGCCAGGUUGGAUUCUAUCUUUAGAAUGUUAAUAUAUUUUAGUACGAAAGGACCAAGUAUAUAUUAAAUUAAUU
Molecule: ribosomal RNA, 601 nt
Filed under: Trichalus sp. BM0136
Lineage: Eukaryota; Metazoa; Arthropoda; Insecta; Coleoptera; Lycidae
Also listed under: 1 other name
Description: partial 16S ribosomal RNA
Rfam family: Bacterial large subunit ribosomal RNA
Source: RNAcentral